AUACUUACCUGGUGUUGAGAUUACCGUGAUCAACAAGGCGGUUCCUCCAGAGAGAGGCCUUUAUCAUUGCACUACGGUUUAGGGCUGACUUCUGUGAAUAUCCCUAACGUGGAUAUGUCGAACACAUAAUUUUUGGUAGUCGGGACUGCGUUCGCGCUGUCCCGC
Formica exsecta is the source of this 165-nucleotide small nuclear RNA. RefSeq annotates it as U1 spliceosomal RNA. The transcript has a single exon. Lineage: Eukaryota; Metazoa; Arthropoda; Insecta; Hymenoptera; Formicidae. The record is from RefSeq and is a predicted model, not a curated record.